This 349-nucleotide unclassified non-coding RNA is filed under the name soil metagenome. Its description in RNAcentral is "partial contains 5.8S ribosomal RNA, internal transcribed spacer 2, and large subunit ribosomal RNA". The stretch from base 1 to 120 matches the Rfam family "5.8S ribosomal RNA", at positions 35 to 154 of the family's 154-position model. The record is from RNAcentral.
GAUGAAGAACGUAGCGAAAUGCGAUAACUAAUGUGAAUUGCAGAAUUCCGUGAAUCAUCGAGUCUUUGAACGCACAUUGCGCCCCCUGGUAUUCCGGGGAGCAUGCCUGUCCGAGCGUCAUUGCUGCCCAUCAAGCACGGCUUGUGUGUUGGGUCCUCGUCCCCCCCGGGGGACGUGCCCGAAAGGCAGCGGCGGCACCGCGUCCGGUCCUCGAGCGUAUGGGGCUUUGUCACCCGCUCUGCAGGCCCGGCCGGCGCUGGCCGACGCGAAAGCAACCAUUUUUUCUCCAGGUUGACCUCGGAUCAGGUAGGGAUACCCGCUGAACUUAAGCAUAUCAAUAAGCGGAGGA